Arvicanthis niloticus (Nile rat) is the source of this 109-nucleotide non-coding RNA. Lineage: Eukaryota; Metazoa; Chordata; Mammalia; Rodentia; Muridae. The record is from RefSeq and is a predicted model, not a curated record.
UAUCACUGCCUUGGCAGCACACUAAAAUUGAAACAUCACAGAGAAGAUUAGCAUGGCCCCCGUGCAAGGAUAACAUUCAAGGAUGAUAUUCGUGGCGUUACAUGUAUUU